This is a long non-coding RNA of Dreissena polymorpha, 371 nucleotides long. RefSeq lists it as uncharacterized. The record is from RefSeq and is a predicted model, not a curated record. The transcript is spliced from 3 exons. Lineage: Eukaryota; Metazoa; Mollusca; Bivalvia; Myida; Dreissenidae.
UAACGUUAGACACAUCGCUGCACCGUGUGGCGAAGGUAAAACUCGAGAUAUUAUUCAAACAUAGUUUAUAAGCUUGGAUUAGCGGUAACUGUGGACAUUUAUCGAACAGAUUGAUGUAUUCAGGUCCUCUGGGCGUUGAAUCAUAUCAUCUUACUCGUGUGUGUCUGCUGAUUUCGGAUUCAAUAAAACACCACAUACUACAAUGUCCACGUGCAAAGCGGUCGUGUUGGCGGUGAUUCUUGCGCUGUGCACGGGUAUCUCGAGGUGCCAGUGUCCAGCGACGUGCCAUUGCGACGGAACUGACGUAAUAUGCAAUGGACAACAGCUGUUGACCAUACCCCUUUCCCUACCGGACGCUACCACUACCUUGU